This 500-nucleotide ribosomal RNA is filed under the name uncultured bacterium. Its description in RNAcentral is "partial 16S ribosomal RNA". It matches the Rfam family "Bacterial small subunit ribosomal RNA", at positions 30 to 523 of the family's 1533-position model. The record is from RNAcentral.
AUUGAACGCUGGCGGCAUGCCUUACACAUGCAAGUCGAACGGCAGCACGGGAGCAAUCCUGGUGGCGAGUGGCGAACGGGUGAGUAAUAUAUCGGAACGUGCCCAGUCGUGGGGGAUAACGUAGCGAAAGCUACGCUAAUACCGCAUACGAUCUAUGGAUGAAAGCGGGGGAUCGCAAGACCUCGCGCGAUUGGAGCGGCCGAUAUCAGAUUAGGUAGUUGGUGAGGUAAAGGCUCACCAAGCCGACGAUCUGUAGCUGGUCUGAGAGGACGGACAGCCACACUGGGACGGGGACGCGGCGCAGUCUCCUACGGGAGGCAGCGGUGGGGAAUUUUGGACAAUGGGCGGAAGCCUGAUCCAGCAAUGCCGCGUGCAGGUUGAAGGCCUUCGGGUUGUAAACUGCUUUUGUACGGAACGAAACGGCGAGCUCUAAUACAGUUUGCUAAUGUCGGUACCGUAAGAAUAAGCACCGGCUAACUACGUGCCAGCCGCCGCUGUAA